This 684-nucleotide ribosomal RNA is filed under the name Triticum aestivum (bread wheat). RNAcentral's name for it is "partial small subunit ribosomal RNA". Lineage: Eukaryota; Viridiplantae; Streptophyta; Magnoliopsida; Poales; Poaceae. The record is from RNAcentral.
AUGGCCGCGCCGUGCACUUCGAUCCUAAACGACCGUCUGGCCGUCCUCCUGGAGGACAUCUUCCUCCUGCUGCCCGGCGCAGCAGACCUCGUCCGUGCCUCCGCCGCCUGCGUCCCCUUCCGCCAGAUCGCCACCGGCAGCUCCUUCCUCCGCCGCUUCCGCAAAACACACUCUCCGUCCUUCAUCGGCUUCGUGGACUAUCAUGGCUUCCGCCCCGCGCUCCGGCCUCACACUUCCGCGCCCAUCGCCGAUGCCGUCGCUCGUGCCGCCGCCGACUUCUCCUUCUCCUUCCUCCCUCGCCCCAACCGCUGCAGCUUCACGGGAGACGCCGGCUGCUGGAACGUCAGGGACAUCCGCGGCGGCCGGGUCCUCCUCGACCGCGGCCCCAAGCGCGAGAAGGGCUCAGUGGUCUUCCCGGAGCUCGCGGUGAGCGACCCGUUGCACCGGCGAUACCGCCUGCUCCCGCCGAUCCCUGACGACCUAGCCGUGUUGGUGAGGGACGCACUUGAUCUGACUUACUCCCCGAAGCGCCGCUGCCAGGUCGUCCUCGGCCCCGUCCCCGUCCCCGCCUUCAAGGAAGUGAAAGUGGAACCGGAAGAUGAAGAGACUUCAUUCCGCGUAAUCUGGAUGGCACAGUGCAGGACUAAGCCGAUGGCAUUCCUUUAUUCUUCAAGCACCGGAUAA